UACGUAGGGGGCUAGCGUUGUCCGGAAUCAUUGGGCGUAAAGCGCGUGUAGGCGGUCCGGUAAGUCCGCUGUGAAAGUCGGGGGCUCAACCCUCGGAUGCCGGUGGAUACUGUCGGGCUCGAGUCCGGAAGAGGAGUGUGGAAUUCCUGGUGUAGCGGUGAAAUGCGCAGAUAUCAGGAGGAACACCAAUGGCGAAGGCAGCACUCUGGGACGUGACUGACGCUGAGACGCGAAAGCGUGGGGAGCAAACAGG
RNAcentral lists this ribosomal RNA (253 nucleotides) under uncultured bacterium. RNAcentral's name for it is "partial 16S ribosomal RNA". It matches the Rfam family "Bacterial small subunit ribosomal RNA", at positions 524 to 776 of the family's 1533-position model. The record is from RNAcentral.